CUGGAGUGUGGCACCAGUCACUGUGGUCUGCUUCUUCCGCUGCCCCAGGAACAAGAGGACUGGAAGGGACGUUCCUCCUCGCCCCCUUACCAUUCUCUUCCCCUCCACUGCCUGUUCCUUCCAGCUCCUUCCUCCAAAGCCAGAAUGAACUUCUGCUGGCAAGGAGGAACCCAAGUGUUAUGGACAGACUUGACCCUAAAGACACAGGAACCUCAGAAUAACGAGGGGGUGAAUUAAAGGGAAUGCCAGACCCUUGUCCAGAACCAGCCUGAAGAAGCCAGGGUCGGGGAGGAGCAUCCCCCGCCGCUCCACGAAGGACUGGCACGUGGUGGGCAGAGCAAGGAGGCUUUUCAUCCAAGCUCAGAGCUCUGGGGCUUAGCUCCCUGUUGAGGAUGGUCAGAUAACGGGACAGUUCCCCACUCUUCACUGGGAGGCUGAGUCCCCCAGCAGCCUCCCACUAUGGGCUGCGUACUGCCCUGGACAGCGCAGAACUGCUCAUCGGAUCGGGGCUGCUCCAUUCAGCUGAACUGCCACAGGGAGCAAGGCUGAGGACAGGGGCUGAACGGCCCAGCACAGGGCUCCUCUGGCCUCACGGUUCUCGAGAUGAAGCUGAGUCCCGGGCAGGAAAAGCAUUCCUUCUCCCUCAGCCGCUGACUGGUCUCCACCUCUGCGCUGAUGUUGGCAUCGUGCUGAGGCCCAGAUCGGUGUCCUCUUCAAUCUGAAUCAACGAUGAUCAUGUGAUUUUUAUUUCUGCCCCGCGGGGUAAGGGAAGAGUCUUCCAGAAGUUUCUGCCUUGGACAUUCAUAAUUCAGCUCAGAGGCUUCGCCCUGCCCCUCCCUCCCUGCCUCCUAAUCACUGCAGUAUCCAGCCCCAUGUUGAAUGGAUUGUAGUGUUUUGUCUCAUUACAAACAAAUAAACAGACUUCCAUUGGUCA
Equus quagga is the source of this 934-nucleotide long non-coding RNA. RefSeq lists it as uncharacterized. The transcript has 2 exons. The record is from RefSeq and is a predicted model, not a curated record. NCBI's taxonomy places the organism in Eukaryota, Metazoa, Chordata, Mammalia, Perissodactyla, Equidae.